AUCCCUCUGAUGAUUCCCGAAUAGGACGAAACGCGUGUCCUGGAU
This is a non-coding RNA of Schistosoma rodhaini, 45 nucleotides long. The record is from Rfam. NCBI's taxonomy places the organism in Eukaryota, Metazoa, Platyhelminthes, Trematoda, Strigeidida, Schistosomatidae.